Molecule: transfer RNA, 84 nt
Filed under: Firmicutes bacterium CAG:884
Lineage: Bacteria; Bacillati; Bacillota
Also listed under: 1 other name
Description: transfer RNA-Leu(TAG)
Rfam family: tRNA
About the family: Transfer RNA (tRNA) molecules are approximately 80 nucleotides in length. Their secondary structure includes four short double-helical elements and three loops (D, anti-codon, and T loops).
Source: RNAcentral
GCGGGUGUGGCGAAAUUGGCAGACGCGCUAGACUUAGGAUCUAGUGGUAUAUCCAUGGGGGUUCAAGUCCCUUCACCCGCACCA